RNAcentral lists this ribosomal RNA (492 nucleotides) under uncultured bacterium. RNAcentral describes it as "partial 16S ribosomal RNA". It matches the Rfam family "Bacterial small subunit ribosomal RNA", at positions 28 to 507 of the family's 1533-position model. The record is from RNAcentral.
GAUGAACGCUGGCGGCAUGCCUAACACAUGCAAGUCGAACGGCCAGACCGUAAGCUUUUGCUCUUCCCGGUUGCGAGGGGCGGACGGGUGACGCGUGAAUCGGACUCUUCUUUUUCGGGGAGGAUCACGUCAGAAAGCUUACAAUAAUACAGCAUACGCUGUACCGGUGAGUGCAGUGGAUCUUCGCAGCUUUCGCGAUUGUAUUAGCUGAUGCCGGGUUCGAUUGUUGGGUUGGUAACGUCCCACCCAGUCGACGAUACGAAGCCUACCCGAGCGGCGGAUCAGCCACACUGGAACUGAGACACGGUCAAGACUCCUACGGGAGGCAGCAGUGGGGAAUCUUCGACAAUGGGCGAAAGCAUGACCCAGCCAGACCGCGUGGGUGAUGAAGGCCUUCGGUUCGUAAAGCCCUUUUGUUGGGAAAGAACAGAAGCAGAUUUAGACCUAGCGGUUCUGACGGUACCCAAUGAAUAAGCACCGGCUAACUACGUG